Long non-coding RNA from Hylaeus anthracinus, 2090 nucleotides. RefSeq lists it as uncharacterized. The transcript is spliced from 3 exons. The record is from RefSeq and is a predicted model, not a curated record. NCBI's taxonomy places the organism in Eukaryota, Metazoa, Arthropoda, Insecta, Hymenoptera, Colletidae.
AAAACUUUAUAAACAAUAAAAUGAAGAUAGCAAACGUACUUUUAUUGUUUAUAAAGUUUUAAGGCCGAAAUUGCAAAAUCAGCCCUUGGAGUCGCAUCCGCCAAAGUGUAACGAAUAUAUUAAAACCAGAAUUAUUAGAAAAUAUUGCUUCUUUGCUUCGAUAUCCUGGAAAAAAAAUCAUGCUAGCCUAAUCGUCCUAUCCUCGUCUCUUCUGCAAUUGUAGUAUCGCGCUCUCUGUCCUUGUCCCGGAGUUUCCUACUUUUUCCGCAACUGUCGCUGAAGUCAACUCGGAGUUUGGCUCUGGCUCCUGCGCACCCUUAAUUAUUACGAUUUCUAUAAUGAUACAUUUUAAUAUUCAUGAUUUUGCGCUGAUAGCCACAAUAAUAGCCAUAGUAAUCCUCCUGUUACCAUGGAUACGACACUGUUAACGGUUCUGGUUGCGCAUGCGCGGAAAAACACGUCCCGACUGCCAUCACUGUGCCCAGGACGUUACGCGUGGGCGCGCAAAAGCCCGUGGGCCCUCGUUGGGGAAGGUUUCGCGCUUCGCUGCUCGCACGAGCUCCCGUAUCUCUUACAUCCACUUUACACGCAACGUUAACAGAACAAACGACGUCGGUCACACUUACUUGCACAUAUCGUGUAAUCGUUGCAUAGCUUCCAGCAGAUCCUCGGAAGUUCUGGCGUCUGCCGCCCGAUCAAGUUGCUUCACCACGGCUGGCCACCAUGGCAGAUCACAAGGGUAUACUAACGAAUAAUUAAUAUACAUCAGACGAGAGACGUUGCGUAACUGUUCGGGGACGAACUAUGAAGAUUAAUUCAGAUUAAUUCAGAUUAAUUCAGAUCGCAAUUUUUAUUAAACAGAUUGGGUUGUAUGUAUUCCGUUAGUCCAUCUCUGACGUUCUUUACGUGCAUGGAAUUGUAUAGAUAUACGCUCGACAGAACACGCGUUUACAAUAGCUAUGGUUCACGAUGUUUAACAUCAACGGCAUAAAUAAACCGGUGCGCCUCGCGUUACACGUAAGAAAAUAGAUCGUCAGUCGGCGAACCGAAUUUUAGAAGGGAAAUCCUCCUUGGCGAUAGGCCCACUAUUAGUUUCACAGUCUAUACGGUAUCGUUCGGUAGAAACACUUCGAUAUCUUCGCUAUAUUAAUAUAUAGAAAGGAAUAUUUAUAAUAAAAAUAACAAAGCGUUAAGAUAUCGAAGGCAACGCUUAUAAUGAUUAAGUAUAUAUAAAAUUGUUCUUUCGAAUUGAAAACUAGGCGUUCCGUUUCUAGCGGACCACCCUUUCUUUGUAUCUACGUAGGCGGAACGAGCGUGCUUGGCAGCCAACAUCUGGACACUUGUUGUGCGAAUCAUGUUUCAACCACUAUCGUGAUACGUUUGAAACGUAUUCGACGAUCCUUCGUAAAAAACCAUUAAAACCUAUAUCAAAUAUUGUAACAUAAACAAAGAUUGCCAUGUAAAACCCAGAGGUAACUGAGAGUCGCUUCGCGAGUGCAAAGGGUUAGUUAUUCCGCCUGAUUCACGAAGCGUUGUAGGAACGUUUCCUUUCUAGUCAAGCGCGAGUAGUGCGAGUUUAAAACAACCGCGGGAGACUAAUGAAUCGUCCACAAAGGCGUGCGUACCUUUACGCGCGAAUUGUCGCGUAAAAAUAAUUAUUCCAUAGUUAUAAAAUGAAAGCAGGUCUCACGGGUCGCGUGGCUCGUUAUCCUUCGUCCCUUGUGUAAAAAUACGCGUUGAUUACUUCGAAAGGAGCCUCGAAUAAUCAACGAGAGAAGAAAUUAUUUCCUUUGCGACUGGAUCAGAUAAUCGGUUUGGUCAUCUGGGAUCUGGAUAAAUGGAAGGAGGGGUGAACGAAUGGAUCCCGGGGUAACCACGCGGAUCAUCGAAACUGCUCGUGCGUCUGGCAGAAGGGGUUGUCCGAUCUGGUUAGUAACCUUUCGACACGAGGAGAAUAUAAUUAGUUUGUCUGUAACGUGCCGGGUAGAAAACUAUAGAAGUUAUCGCAGAGUGGCCGAGAGGGAAGCGCGUCGCGCCCAAGGUAGGGCCACGGCCCCUUCUAAACUACAAUUUACAUAAUCACCUAUUUC